Molecule: unclassified non-coding RNA, 146 nt
Filed under: soil metagenome
Description: partial internal transcribed spacer 1
Source: RNAcentral
CCGAGUUUACAACUCCCAAACCCCUGUGAACAUACCUACUGUUGCCUCGGCGGAUCAGCCCGCUCCCGGUAAAACGGGACGGCCCGCCCGAGGACCCCUAAACUCUGUUUCUAUAUGUAACUUCUGAGUAAAACACAAAUAAAUCA